Molecule: long non-coding RNA, 600 nt
Organism: Triticum aestivum (bread wheat)
Lineage: Eukaryota; Viridiplantae; Streptophyta; Magnoliopsida; Poales; Poaceae
Exons: 2
Source: RefSeq, a predicted model, not a curated record
CCCCCCCCCCCCCCCCUUCCUCUGGGUCGGCGGCCGCACCUUCGCCGUGGCCCCCGAUUCCCUUUGCCAUCGAUGGUCCUCAUCCUCCUUGGUCGCGGCGUCAAUCGAAAUCGAAAAUAUCUCCGCCCAGGCCCAGUACCAACGAAGAGAGGAAGGGCAAAGCCGUCGUCAGUGUCGCGUUUUGUUGCUCGUCGUCGUUCACGGAUUCUAGGUGGAUCUGAUUUCUUACACGAGGAAGACAAGAGCCGUGAUUGCCGCGUGCGCCUGCACAAUUCAAGUGGAUCGGUUAAAUUUUGAAACUGUAUCGGCUUCUCCACCAGCAAACAAUGAGAGAAAAACUAGGCGAGCUACCAACCAAAUGCACGCCAACAUUUUUUCGAUUCUUCCCGGGGCGCUAGUGCUUGCCUGACAAUCAGAAGAUGCAGAAGUUGCAGACAGAUUGGGUCACACAUUCUUUCUUCUUAAUCUGCAUAAAGUUCUGCUUCAAGUACAUAAUCAGGUACUAGUGCAACAGCUACUCAGCUGAUUUGAAGCAAACGGAUGCCUACAUUCUACGUACAUUACAGGUAACUAUAUCAAUGACACACACCAGUUCAUCUU